CCCUUAGAUGUCCUGGGCCGCACGCGCGUUACACUGAUGCAUUCAACGAGCUUAUAACCUUGGCCGAGAGGCCUGGGCAAUCUUGUUAACGUGCAUCGUGAUAGGGAUAGAUUAUUGAAAUUAUUAAUCUUGAACGAGGAAUUCCUAGUAAACGCAGAUCAUCAAUCUGCAUUGAUUACGUCCCUGCCCUUUGUACACACCGCCCGUCGCUCCUACCGAUUGAAUGAUCCGAUGAAUAUCAUGGAUUGAGGAUGCAAGUAGGUUAGCCUAUCUUCAUCUUCGAGAAGUGAAGUAAAUCUUAUCAUUUAGAGGAAGGAGAAGUCGUAACA
RNAcentral lists this ribosomal RNA (329 nucleotides) under uncultured eukaryote. RNAcentral describes it as "partial 18S ribosomal RNA". It matches the Rfam family "Eukaryotic small subunit ribosomal RNA", at positions 1470 to 1796 of the family's 1831-position model. The record is from RNAcentral.